UUAAGCAUAUCAAUAAGCGGAGGAAAAGAAACCAACAGGGAUUCCCUCAGUAACGGCGAGUGAAGCGGCAACAGCUCAAAUUUGAAAUCUGGCUCUCGGGUCCGAGUUGUAAUUUGUAGAGGAUGCUUUGGGUGUGGCUCCGGUCUAAGUUCCUUGGAACAGGACGUCAUAGAGGGUGAGAAUCCCGUACGUGACUGGUUGCCUUCGCUCAUGUAAAGCUCCUUCGACGAGUCGAGUUGUUUGGGAAUGCAGCUCAAAAUGGGUGGUAAAUUUCAUCUAAAGCUAAAUAUUGGCCAGAGACCGAUAGCGCACAAGUAGAGUGAUCGAAAGAUGAAAAGCACUUUGGAAAGAGAGUUAAACAGUACGUGAAAUUGUUGAAAGGGAAGCGCUUGCAACCAGACUUGCAAUCUGUUGAUCAUCCGGGGUUCUCCCCGGUGCACUCGGCAGUUUUCAGGCCAGCAUCGGUUUGGGUGGUGGGAUAAAGGCCUUGGGAAUGUGGCUCUCUUCGGGGAGUGUUAUAGCCCAAGGUGCAAUGCCGCCUACCUGGACCGAGGACCGCGCUUCGGCUAGGAUGCUGGCGUAAUGGUUGUAAGCGACCCGUCUUGAAACACGGACCAAGGAGUCUAACAUCUAUGCGAGUGUUUGGGUGUCAAACCCAUACGCGUAAUGAAAGUGAACGGAGGUAAGAACCCUUAAGGGUGCACCAUCGACCGAUCCUGAUGUCUUCGGAUGGAUUUGAGUAAGAGCAUAGCUGUUGGGACCCGAAAGAUGGUGAACUAUGCCUGAAUAGGGUGAAGCCAGAGGAAACUCUGGUGGAGGCUCGCAGCGGUUCUGACGUGCAAAUCGAUCGUCAAAUUUGGGUAUAGGGGCGAAAGACUAAUCGAACC
RNAcentral lists this ribosomal RNA (887 nucleotides) under Trichoconis echinophila. RNAcentral's name for it is "eukaryotic LSU rRNA". It matches the Rfam family "Eukaryotic large subunit ribosomal RNA", at positions 34 to 941 of the family's 3401-position model. Lineage: Eukaryota; Fungi; Ascomycota. The record is from RNAcentral.